UCGCUCCGUGUGUGUGGCUCGCGCUGACCACCACCAGCAGGAAACUUUCCCAGGGCAGCUGCUGCUCCGCUUUCCUCUCCCCGGCCAGCGUGUCGGGCGCUGAGCGUGUGCAGCUCCGGAGCCGCCGGCGGCAGCAGGGCAAGGAGCCUCCAUGGGGUGUUGAAAAAAACUCAGAUUUGGAAAGCUGAAUGGGAUAAACAUGAAGAGCUUGAAAGCAAAGUUCAGAAAGAGUGAUACCAACGAGUGGAAUAAGAAUGACGACCGGCUGCUGCAAGCUGUGGAGAAUGGAGAUCCAGAGAAAGUGGCUUCGCUGCUGGGCAAAAAGGGAGCCAGUGCCACCAAACAGGAUA
This is a long non-coding RNA of Terrapene triunguis (Three-toed box turtle), 350 nucleotides long. RefSeq lists it as uncharacterized. NCBI's taxonomy places the organism in Eukaryota, Metazoa, Chordata, Testudines, Emydidae. The transcript is spliced from 3 exons. The record is from RefSeq and is a predicted model, not a curated record.